Ailuropoda melanoleuca (giant panda) is the source of this 1154-nucleotide non-coding RNA. The record is from the annotation of a RefSeq genome assembly. NCBI's taxonomy places the organism in Eukaryota, Metazoa, Chordata, Mammalia, Carnivora, Ursidae.
AUCCCGCCCCCUGACCCUCACUGUCCCUGCUCUCUGGGCCCCUCCCACCCUCCCUCUCCCCUUUCUCUCAGCAGUAUCUGCUGGUACCACCUGGAAGCAGCAUCUCAGCCCCUAUCCUGCCCUCUGCCACCCACCCCUGUGGUCUUCUCCCAGCAGGUGCAGCCACAAGGUCACUUGGGCUUCUGACCCCAUGGCAGAACUCAGAACCAUGCUGGGUCUCCUUGCUAUCCUGUGGGUCCUCCUGUUUCCCGGCAGACUGGCAGGGAUUAGACUGGAGCAACCAGCCUUGGUCGUGGCACGCAGUGGCACCUGGGUCACCCUGUCCUGCAGAGCAAAUACCAAAGUCAGCUACAUCCACUGGUACCAGCACCAGGAGGGCAACGCUCCCCAGAGGCUCCUUAUAGUGGCACUAUUUUCGUCUUACGUGCAAACAGAUUCGGUUCUGAAAGGGGACAAGGUCACUGCCAGGAGGGGCUCAGAUGGCAAGAGCUGUAACCUGUUGAUGUCGAAGCUGGAGAAGAGCGACGAGGGCGUGUACUACUGCGCUGCCUGGGAAGCUCACAGCCCUGCAUGCCUUCCUGGUCCCAGCACAAAAAGGUCCACUGCACAGAACCCUGGAGACCCAGGGAGCUGUCCUGUCUGGAGGGACUUCUCUGAAGAUCGUCCAGCACGGCGUUUCUGAAGCAUCUGGAGCAGAAUCUGUGCUGCUCAAUGCAGGAGCCACGAGCCACUAGCCACACGUGGCUCCUGAGCGCGUGAAAUGUAGCUAGUCCACUAGUCCAAGCUGAGAUGGGCUCUCUGUGUAACAUACAAACCAUUAUUUUGAAGACUCAAAAAGAAGACAGACUAUCUCUUUAAUAGUUUCUAUAUUGACUGCAUGUUGAAAUAAUAUUUAUGAUAUCUUGAACUGAGUAAAAAUAGCUUUACUUGUUCUUUUAACCUUUCUUUGAUGCAACAGAUAGACCAUUUUUAAUUUGUGUCUCAAACUGAUGACUUACUUUUAUUUCUAUUGGACAGUGCUGUUAUAGACCGGUGAUUUAAGAUUCUGACCAUGUCCCCUGAAUAAUGUGCAAAUAAAAUAUUGUGUAAAUGGUGUCAAGUUUGAAGGACUCUCUGGAGAUUUACCACAAAAUGGUUAUAAGCUGAGACUGAAA